Molecule: long non-coding RNA, 1196 nt
Organism: Alosa sapidissima (American shad)
Lineage: Eukaryota; Metazoa; Chordata; Actinopteri; Clupeiformes; Clupeidae
Exons: 2
Source: RefSeq, a predicted model, not a curated record
CAGAUGGAUGUGAGUGGAGCUAGGUGGAGCUAAGCAGAACGAAAUUCAUCUGGCGAGAGUCAGGUUAGGGAAUAUAUACUUAUUUUUCUAAUAUUUGCUUAUAACAACACAUUUUUUCACUUUUUUUUCACCGUUAUUAUACCUUACCGACCUUGUUAUAAGUGAAAAUCUUCUUGUUCUGUUGGCAAAUCUUGCAAGUGAAAGUUUCUUGUAUUACCUUAAAAUAAGGUAGUACAAGAACAAUAAAACAAGAUUUUCACUUAGUACAAGGCAAAGAAAACUUAAAUCAAGUGCAAAAAUGUAUUGUAAUAAGCUAAAAUACGUACAUAUUCACUUGAUUUAAGCUUAUUUAUCUCACUUAGAUUUUGAAUUCUAGGAUUUUUUGCAGUGAUUUCUUGAUAGUGUUCUGCAAAAAGGCAUGUACUGUAUCUCCCCUUGUGCUGUUAAAAUUCAUUUAAAAAAAAAUAUGUGUAUACUUUGUUUGAGAUUUGGUAGCCUUUGUGCAGACAAGCAUCUCUUUUGUAGGUUCUUUGACACAAGGAUAUUCUGUGUUCUGUAGUGGAAUGCAUUUGAUGCCCUUUUCACCUCGACUUUUCUCUUGCUUGUUCACAGACAAGCUGUGGCUGUGACAGCCACAUGGCCAAGUCUCCUAAAAGAUAGGGAAGUUCCCAUAGGUUUUAUGCUCCAUUACAGUAAGACACUCAAGUAGGCUCUGUAAAUAUGCACCUAUAGUGAAUUCUAUGAUUUAGUGACAACUGGUUUUCCAGCCUCUCCUCAGAUUUAUGGGUGUUUAUAUAGCUGCAGUUUGUGUGUAGGGUUGUGCACAAGGUAUUAAAUUAGCAAAAUGAUUUUGCUUACUAAUUAAAUCAACUUGAGCCUUAACCCUCAUGCACCUUCAGGCUUCAGCGAACAUUGUCUGCUGUGUUAAGAAUGCAUAAAAAUAAUUAUUUAGAAAAGAAAACUAACAAAUACAUUAAAAAACAAAUAAUAUGGGGUUUGAUGUUUGCUUUUAAAAGAGGGUUUUGUAUUUUCAAAAAACAUCAAAAAACACACAGCAAUAAUCAGUAUCAUGUUGAGUUUUUUUUUAAUAAUGUCACAAUUUCUUGUAAAUACUGACUAUGAUUCAUAAUGUAAUGUCAUAGUAUUAUGCCAUGAGCUGACUUGUAUACAAUAUUAAUAAAGGCUACUGAACUGUU